CUCAGCCAAGAAGGUCUGAAAGUCACCGGCCCAGAGAACUCAGGCAGAAGAGUGUUGCCCAAGAGAAGGAGUUCUUGAGAGGGGAGCAGUGGGCAGUGCUAGGGGUGGGGAGCUGGGAGUGGACCUGGAAACUAGAAACCUGGGUUUCUCCACUGACCACACUAAAAGGAAAGGCCUCUCCUGGAAGGUGACACUCUGUGCAGGCACUGGGCCUGGAAGGGCCUCAGGGCCUUGUUCUCAGGCAGGUCAGGGUCCUGGCUGGACUCAGGGUGCAGCUAAAUUGCGACCUGAAACAGAACACUGGAGAACCUAGUGCCCCAACAUGGAUUCUAUUGGAGGAGGAAGUGGGUCUCUGGUUCCCAAAGAACUUGCCAGGAACAUCGCCAGCCUCCCCCACCGUCUACGGAGCCUCACACCAUCUCCCUCCCGACCCCUUUCGGUUCCCCCUGGCUCGAAUAGGCCACUGGGCUAACGCAGUAAUUAUCAUCUCCGCCAAGCCAGGCCAACGCCAUCUAACUGUCUAAUGUGGGAGAAGAUGAGACUUCAGGAGGCCUCGAGCACACAUCGUUUUGUUUGUCGGAGUAAGUUUGGAAAACCCCAGUUGUGCGGCUGCCUCUCUGCACGGGAAUGGCCUUUCGAGAUGGUUUUGGGGUGCAGUCUGUGGGUUCAUCCUCUGCGGAACUGCAUUUAAACAGCAGAUUAAAACGGGGCGACGACAGCACAGUUCUCAUGGUACCGAUGAAGAAGCAGAACUCGACAUGCUUCAACUCAGUCACUCUACAUGACUCCAUCUAGUUUCUAUUUGUGUUUAAAAUUUAAAACAGCGAAAUAGUAAGAACUGGGACAAGAAGUGUUUAUGUUUGGUAACCACAAGUUUUGGUUCAUACAUGAAACAUUCUCCUGAAUUUGAACGAUCUUUUCAAGAUGGGUUUCCCACGGCUGCUGUAACAAACUGCGAUCGACUUGGUGGUUUGCUACAAUGUAAAUCUAUCGUCUGACAGUUCUGGAGGCUGGAAGUCUGAAAUGGGUGGCCUCCUGGCCCAAACCAAGGUGUCGCCAGAGCUGCGCUCUCUCCAGAGACUCUGGGAGGAUCCCUGGCCUUUUCCGGCUUCUGGAGGCUGCCUGCAUUGCUUGGCUUGUGGCUCCUUCCUCCAUCUUCAAAGUGCUUCACUCCGAUCUCUGCUUUUGUCCUUACACAGCUGUCUCCUCUGCUCUCAGAUCUCCCUCUGCCUGGCUUUUAGAAGAACCUAUGCAAUUACUUUUAGGGCCCACCUGGAUAGUCCAAGAUAAUCUCCCCAACUUGAGAUCCUUAACUUCAUCACAUUUACAAAGUGUCUUUUGCCAUAUAUGGUAAUAUUUACAGUUUCUCAGGAUUAAGAUAUCUUGGAAGGCCGUCGUUCAGCCCACCACAAUUAACAAGAGUCAUUUUGUUGUAUAGGGUGGGCGUUAAAAAAUCACCCGCUUUGGAUGUGAAAUGAGGCCUGAGUUUGGCACCGCAGGGGACACCUGUGGAGAGCAGAUUUUGUCGCAGGUGAAGGGAGAGUGUACUUUGCUGCAAGUCAGGGAUGCGUGUGUGUGCGUGUUUGUGUGUGUGUGGUCCUUGGGCUUGACUGGGUGGUGUUCGAAGGGCAAGGAUGGGGCUGUUUGCAGGGCUGUAGAAUCUAGGACUGCUCCAGGGCCCUGUAGGAUCUUCAUGAUUUGUUCUUAGGACGCUUGUUCUCGGGAAGUGUUCCUCAUGGCACACGUUAUUACCGCUUGCCGUGCAUACACAUGCACAGGACAGACUCACUCCUGUCCAUAACUUAUCGAGGGCCGGCUACGUGCAGGCACACUUCCAGGCAUGGGAGAGUUGGCAGUGAGCACACAGGCAGUCCCUGUGCUCAUGGAGCUUACAACACGUCCCCAUGUAUUUAUCUCUCCCAUAGAACGCACGCUCCCCAAGGACCGGCACUUUCCUGUUACUUGGCCACUCCCUAGGAAGACAGCCUGGCACCUGGCAGGCCUCAGUGAACACUUGUUGAACGAGUUAAUGUCUUGCUGGGUCCUUUGAGAGCAGGUUGGGUCAAGAUGAACCAGCGCAUUCUGGCUUUGAAGCCCAGUCUGGAGAGUGGAGGCCAGGGCGCUGCAGGGAGCCACGCGGGAGGAUGGCGUGACCUGCACAGGAGGGACGGCCCUGCCUGGGCACGGUGAGGGAGGUGGAGGAGUGAGAGACUGUGCCCAGAUGUCCAGCUGGAGUAACCUGGCAGAUGGUGGAGCUGUUCAGAGGCGGACGCACACCUGUCUGCAGCCCCCAGGAGACACAGCCGGAGCUGAGAGCCUGGUUAACCCUUCGCUAUACUGAAACAUCUUCCAUCGAGGCAGGCCGAGAGGGGUGGACAUCAUCACUCUGUUUAAUAGACGGGAACGGGUGCUCAGAAGGGUUAAGUCGCUUGCUUGGGAGCGCCGAGCUGCGGUUUGGACCAGGUCUGUUCGCCUCGUGGGUUCCAACUCCUGUGCAGGACGUUCAGUGACCAAGCACGUGGGCUUCCGAGUCUGCCGGCCUUGCUGCGAAGUUUGCCUGUGACUUUGCAUCUCUUUGGACAAUCCGUUUCCAGCUCUGAAAAAUGAGGGAAAUACCAGUCAGCUCUUCUCAAGGUUGUCGUGAGGAUUAAGUGAAGAAAUGGACGCGAAGCCUUGACGGAGUGCAUGUCUUUAUCUGCCCAGCUGCCUGGGUCUGGGAAUGAGUUUUCCAUGAAGAUUUUCUUUGAAUAGAGGGGAAAUGUCCAGACAAAAUGUGGAGGUUUUUACCUCCUCCUCGGGAUGAUGACAUCGCAAUGACUUUUAAAGCUAAAUUUUCCUCGAAAAGAGAAAGUAGCUCGGUCGCUGCUGGUGUGAGCAGUGGCCUCUCUCCUCCGUGGUCUCGGCUGGCAGCUGAGGGGCCUGCGUCAGCCCCCGCCCAUCUUGCCUUCCUCGGGCAGCAGAUCUCUGACACGGCACACCGGCAAGCCACCAGGAGAAUCCGGAGAGCGAUGAACCUGACCCGCGCCUACAAGGCUUAAAGAUAUGGUAAUGCAAUUAGCAGCCUCGGCAGCCUAAUGAAGGCUCUCUGAAAUGCUGAUAAAACACCACUGAAGAAAAAUGCUUAAGAGCCUCUUCAAACUUUCCAAAAUGUGAAGUGUGUCCUUACGGAGAAAAUGGCAAUCUAGUCUCCUUUCUCCAAGGUUCGAGAUUAAUUAGGGGCUUAUUUAGUGCAUGAAUGAGGAAACAAAUGAACUCUGGGAUCGCAAAGCAUUGAAACCAAUUUUUUAAUCUUUUUUUUACAAUUACAUCCGUAUCAUAAAAGUCUUCAUUAGACGUUGUCACCAGUGCAUAUUGUGCCGGAAAGUGUCGCCAUCCUGGGCUUUUGACGAGACCGCAUUUGCUUCCCAUGAAAGGGGCUCUUCUAACAAAGCCUUCUCUUUCUUCCUAACGGCAAACGGCUGGGGCUUGGAUGGCUAGUCCAGGCCAGGGGGAAAUUCAUCUCCCGCCUUGCCCUCCUCAAGCUGAGUUCACCUGUAAACAUGGUUUCUUCCCAAACAGGACAGACGGACGAGGGGCUGGGUGAAUGGACCGGGCUCCCUGCAUGGCACAUGCAUUUAUUCAGCCAGUUGUGAUGACAAGACGGGUGUGGGCAGAGACGGGAGCCCUGCGUAUCUCUUUCUGCCCCUCCCCACAAACAACCACUGAGUGGAAGCCAGUCCAAACAGCCGCCCUGCUGCCAUCCGCAGAUCUGUGCCUUUCAUUUGGCCAGCAGUCACUGGGCACCCACCAGCGCUGCGUACUGCUAGGUGCCGGAAGUACGGCAGUGAGUCAAACCCACAUUCUUCUGCUCAUGGACCUCUAGACUAGGGUUGAUGGCCUUGAUAUCUGCAAGUGACCUGGAUCGUUUCUGGUUCUGGUCUGCCUGCGCUGGGAUUCCACAGCAGACACCAUCUUUAUCUCUUGGAUGUGUCUAUACAGCUGAGCAACAUGACGGGUUGCAUGAACACCUAAUGCUAAGCUGACCUCUGGUAAAUCUUUCACCUGCCUGUGCCUCUCCUCUUCAUCCAUGGAUUGGGGACACGACUACCUGUGACUGCCGUGUCACACUGUGGUGGACGGAUUCUCGGAGGCAUGAUGUCUCCUCCUGGUGUUCAUGCCCCUUGAGUGGGGGUGGAACCCGUGACUGACAGGAUGUGUGUGAGUAUGCUACAGAAGAUUAUAGUGCCAUCUAGCAAGGAAACCCUCCCUUGCUGGCUUUGAGGAAGCAAGUUGCCAUGUUGUGAGUUGCCUUUGGAGGGUCCAUGAGCCAAGGAGCUGAGAGUGGCCUCCAGCUGACAGCCAGCAAGAAACUGAGACCCUCAGUCCAACAGUCCACAGAGCGCUGAAUUCUGCCAACAACCACAGGAGUUUGGAAGCAGAUCCUUCCCUGAUCCAGCUUCAGAUGAGACUGCAGCCCUGACCUUGAUGGCAGCCUCAUGAAACCCUGAGCUGAAGGACCCAGACCAGCUGUGCCAAGACUCCUGACCCACAGAAACCGUGGGGUAGUACACGUGUGUUGUUUCAAGCUCAUAAGCUUUGUGGAAAUUUGUUACGCAGCUGUAGGAAACUAGUAAGCCCAGGUAGACAUCUAUGUGGGUACACAGGUUGGUUAAUUUUCAACGACAGGCACUGUUAUGACAGUAAGCAUUGGGGUGAGACAGUGGCCACCAUUUAUUGAGAGGCUUCUGUGUGGCUGAUGCUGUUCCAGCUGUUGAACAGCAAGAAUGGCACCAGGAGACAGUGACAAGAGUGCAGGGUCUGAGGUCAGAACGCCUGGGUCCGAAUCCAGCUCCACCACUUCCUAGCUGCAUGAGGCUGGAUAGAUGCUCUAACCUCAAUGAGCCUGAGCUUCUUCAUAUAAAAUAGGGGUAAAGAUAGUGCCUUCCCCUUUCUCAGAGAAUGAGUAAAUGAAAUACUGUGUACAAGAGUAUGUAACUAAACGCGAG
Equus caballus (horse) is the source of this 4985-nucleotide long non-coding RNA. Lineage: Eukaryota; Metazoa; Chordata; Mammalia; Perissodactyla; Equidae. The record is from Ensembl.